UUUGAUUUAGGUUGCAAAUGGAUGGAAAUUGUGGAAUUGGGAAGAAAAGAGCGAAAACUGACCAAAAUGGAGAAAGUGAAAGUUCAGGGAUCAAGUUGCAAGUAAUCCAUAGAUGAGAUGGACGAUGGAAUGAAGAUUCAAGAGUGUUAGGGUCAAUCGGAUGAGGAAUGAAGUUAAAGAGCUAAAAUAUAGUCGAAAUAUUAUCACAUAUAAACUUUCAGGCGAAAAAGUUAUGCUUCAGAUUUUUAGUCUCUAGUUGAGACCCAUUUUUGGCAUAGUAAACGUCCGAAUUAGAAAAAGUCUAUUUCUAGAAAAAUUGUAGAUCUUUACGUUCUCUUUUCAACACACUUUAAUCUCCUCAAUCGAACAUAGAAACAGAAAAUUAUGGCCAAAAUAUUGAAAACUGUUCGGCGGAGAAAAAUGCUAGAGCCAUGCAACCACACAGCACUAAAGCCAUGUGG
RNAcentral lists this long non-coding RNA (461 nucleotides) under Olea europaea (common olive). RNAcentral's name for it is "long non-coding RNA (OEUR_LNC014005)". The record is from RNAcentral. Lineage: Eukaryota; Viridiplantae; Streptophyta; Magnoliopsida; Lamiales; Oleaceae.